UGAUUGUUCUAUUGUUAAUAACAGCUAAUACAAGUAUGAUAAGAGUGAUUUAAUGUCCAGUAUCUUUGUGUGAAUCAGUUUGGAUCUGAACGAGAUGUUCGGCUGCAUUGUUGCUGGAAAACCUGUGCUGAGUGACCCUAUUCCGGUAUCAGAGACGCAAGGUCUUAUCACCAUUCCAUAUCCCCCCAACGAGGUGCGUCACGUGGUCCUGUUCCUGACGAGUCCCUUGCCCAAUCCAGGAGUGGAGCUAGGAGCAGCUGUCCAUUUGGGAUACUCGGCCGAGGGAAGCACUGAAAUGCAGCCACGUGGACAACAAUAAGCCGAGUGCCAUUUUCAAAGUGGUGUUGCCUACUGCCGCUGAGAACUCGCAUCAACCACAGAAUGGAGUGGGCUUGUUCGGGCAAUUCAGCAGUCAACGACAACCCACUCAUACAGCCCACCUGCAGAUUGGUGUUUCGGUGGAGCCUCUGUCGGAGAUCUCCCAGAAGACAGCAUCUGACACGUACUCCAUCUCCACCCUAGACUCUUUCUCGCAGUUCUGUCGUGCGACCCUGGACAAUCUUCAAAAUUAUGUCAUGUCAUUUGCAGUGACGCAAUCGCAGAUGACACCAGACAACAAUGCAGCCUUUAUACCAAUGUCGUCAUUCGCUAACUGGGUCUCUAAUUUCGAGAGGAAGCUUCAGCACAAUCCAAACUUCUGGAAAAAAUAAAAACAUAAAAAUCCCAAUAGCUAUUCUUUGAUUUGCCGUGCUUUUUUUCUA
Symsagittifera roscoffensis is the source of this 761-nucleotide long non-coding RNA. RefSeq lists it as uncharacterized. The transcript is spliced from 3 exons. The record is from RefSeq and is a predicted model, not a curated record. NCBI's taxonomy places the organism in Eukaryota, Metazoa, Xenacoelomorpha, Acoela, Convolutidae.